RNAcentral lists this long non-coding RNA (384 nucleotides) under Elaeis guineensis (African oil palm). RNAcentral's name for it is "long non-coding RNA (EGUI_LNC074428)". The record is from RNAcentral. Lineage: Eukaryota; Viridiplantae; Streptophyta; Magnoliopsida; Arecales; Arecaceae.
UCUCUCUUGCUCUCUUUCUUUGUUACGAUGGGUUCUAUUCUCAAGCUCUAUGCAUUCCGCUGGUUGCCCUUGGUGGUGGCUUCCAUAAGAAGACAACCACUCCAAGUGGGAGGAUGGAGGGAGGAGGAUUUCGUGGAGGGGGAAGCUUUGUUGAGAGGCAUCAUAUUUGUUAAUGUCUACUUCUUUCUCUAACACUUGCCUUCUUAAUUCUUGUUUCCCAUAGGCUGGGAUUUAUGGAGGGAUUGGAAAACUAAGAAAAGGAAAGGGGAAAAGAAGGAGAGGAGGAUUGGAGCAAUGGUGGCCAGGGGAUGGGUGUGGCAGCGGUGGUGGCUAGGGAUUCCCUAGCGAGGGCUCUAUGGCUAUCUUAGGAUGGAGGGUUAGGGC